RNAcentral lists this ribosomal RNA (802 nucleotides) under bacterium KBS-105. Its description in RNAcentral is "bacterial SSU rRNA". It matches the Rfam family "Bacterial small subunit ribosomal RNA", at positions 36 to 817 of the family's 1533-position model. The record is from RNAcentral.
CUGGGGGGGGUGCCUAUACAUGCAAGUCGAGCGGACUUGACGGAAGCUUGCUUCCGUUCAAGUUAGCGGCGGACGGGUGAGUAACACGUGGGUAACCUGCCUGUAAGACUGGGAUAACUCCGGGAAACCGGGGCUAAUACCGGAUAUUCUUUUUCUUCGCAUGAAGAAGAAUGGAAAGGCGGCUUUUAGCUGUCACUUACAGAUGGACCCGCGGCGCAUUAGCUAGUUGGUGAGGUAACGGCUCACCAAGGCAACGAUGCGUAGCCGACCUGAGAGGGUGAUCGGCCACACUGGGACUGAGACACGGCCCAGACUCCUACGGGAGGCAGCAGUAGGGAAUCUUCCGCAAUGGACGAAAGUCUGACGGAGCAACGCCGCGUGAGUGAAGAAGGUUUUCGGAUCGUAAAGCUCUGUUGUCAGGGAAGAACAAGUACGGAAGUAACUGUCCGUACCUUGACGGUACCUGACCAGAAAGCCACGGCUAACUACGUGCCAGCAGCCGCGGUAAUACGUAGGUGGCAAGCGUUGUCCGGAAUUAUUGGGCGUAAAGCGCGCGCAGGCGGCUUCUUAAGUCUGAUGUGAAAGCCCACGGCUCAACCGUGGAGGGUCAUUGGAAACUGGGAGGCUUGAGUGCAGAAGAGGAGAGCGGAAUUCCACGUGUAGCGGUGAAAUGCGUAGAGAUGUGGAGGAACACCAGUGGCGAAGGCGGCUCUCUGGUCUGUAACUGACGCUGAGGCGCGAAAGCGUGGGGAGCGAACAGGAUUAGAUACCCUGGUAGUCCACGCCGUAAACGAUGAGUGCU